GAUGAACGCUAGCGAUAGGCUUAACACAUGCAAGUCGAGGGGCAGCAUUAUUUUAGCUUGCUAAGAUAGAUGGCGACCGGCGCACGGGUGCGUAACGCGUAUGCAACCUGCCUGUAAUUAGGGAAUAACCCGGUGAAAGUCGGACUAAUACCCUAUAUUCUUCUUUCUCUGCAUGGGGGAGGACGGAAAGAUUUAUUGAUUACAGAUGGGCAUGCGUCCCAUUAGCUAGUUGGUAAGGUAACGGCUUACCAAGGCAACGAUGGGUAGGGGGACUGAGAGGUUGACCCCCCACACUGGUACUGAGACACGGACCAGACUCCUACGGGAGGCAGCAGUGAGGAAUAUUGGUCAAUGGGCGAGAGCCUGAACCAGCCAAGUCGCGUGAAGGAGGACGGUUCUAUGGAUUGUAAACUUCUUUUGUAGAGGAAUAAUGGCAGCUACGUGUAGCUGAGAUGCAUGUACUCUACGAAUAAGUAUCGGCUAACUCCGUGCCAGCAGCCGCGGUAAUACGGAGGAUACGAGCGUUAUCCGGAAUUAUUGUGGUUUAAAGGGUUCGUAGGUGGCGUAUUAAGUCAGUGGUGAAAAGCUGCAGCUCAACUGUAUUCUUGCCGUUGAAACUGAUAUGCUAUGAGAGGAGACGAGGUAUGCGUGUGUGUGUUGGUGUAUCGGUGAAAUGCAUAGAUAUUCACACACAACUCUGAUCGCGAAUGCCUCUUAUCACGCUCUGUCUUGACUCUUUUGGCUCGAAUGCGUUGUGUAUUAAUCUUGUAUUACAUCCCCUGUAUUCAAAGAGUGUAAUUCAUCAGUGUGGAUCAGGUCACUGUCCCUUGCACCUCUUGGGGAAAUAAAAAAUACUAUUAUUUUCCCUUUAUUGUAGUUUAUUUAUCAUGUGCUGCUCCCUUUGUGUCUCAUGUGAUUAUAUGUGUUGCUGUCCUGUUGUUAUGCUUCCUGUCUCUAUGUUGUUGCUACUUUCUUGUUUUGUGCUUAUUGCUUUACUUUCAUGCCCUUGCCUUUGCCCUUUGUUAGUGCUACUUUCUCCUAUUUUCUACCUGUACUGCUGCCUUUCUGUGUUUAUUAUCCUGUGCUCUGUUCUUUAUGCUGCUUGUUGUUAGCUGUUCUCUUUGCUAGUACCUGUCCCUCCAUGUGAUAGCUAGCCCUGCCUAUGUAUUGCCUACUUUUUGCUAUGCCAUAUGCCGAUAUAACCUAUUUCCUAGUGUGUGCGCG
This 1224-nucleotide ribosomal RNA is filed under the name uncultured Streptococcus sp. RNAcentral describes it as "bacterial SSU rRNA". The stretch from base 1 to 858 matches the Rfam family "Bacterial small subunit ribosomal RNA". The record is from RNAcentral. Lineage: Bacteria; Bacillati; Bacillota; Bacilli; Lactobacillales; Streptococcaceae.